Molecule: small RNA, 120 nt
Filed under: Allorhizobium borbori
Lineage: Bacteria; Pseudomonadati; Pseudomonadota; Alphaproteobacteria; Hyphomicrobiales; Rhizobiaceae
Description: Rhizobium borbori Rhizobiales sRNA Atu_C9
Rfam family: Rhizobiales sRNA Atu_C9
Source: Rfam by way of RNAcentral
GGUAAACGCGAGGAGGCAGAGAUGGGAAUUACCAACUCACUCAAUAGACUGAUCGUCAGUGCAGCGUUUGUUUUCAUCGCGGCCAUGCUGUUCAUCUGAACGGGUCGCCUGAAGCCUGAG